CAAACCAAUCAAUAUAUUAGUUUAGUAGUUUCACAGUUCAAUUAGGCUGGUUGACCCAAAUUUUAUUACCAUGAUAUAAACCAUAUCAUUAAUCAAAUAUUUUUACCAACAGUAAUGACUAAUCUCUCUUCAAAUAUCAAUAACAAAAAAUUGAUUGAUCUAAUUAGGUUUGUUUUGUACGUUAAAUUAUACCUUUCUUAAUUUUAGUUAUAAUUUCUAAUUAUCAUUUUUAGUAGAAUUAUAUAAUUUGAUUCAACUCGAUCUAAAUUAAUCUUAAAAAUUAGUUGACAUGAAGAAAGACAUCCAAUAAAGGAAUAUUAUGAGUCUUAUAUAUGGGACCAAACAAAUGAAAAAUAAUGCUAACAAAAUUGAUUGGAACUAGCAAGUAGGAUUUGAGAUUGAGAGGGUCUAAGUGGGGAUGGGCUAGCUACUUCUUAGUUCUUAUAUGGCGGGAAGGCUUAGUAGAGUAAGGAACAGAACAUAUAUUGCCACUUUGGCUCCUCAUUUUACCGUUCUCAAACUUUGAUUUGGUUGGUUUGAAUUCACAAGUUGUCCAUCAAUGCCGAUACUUGAAAUUGAAGUGCCUUAAAGAUGUUUGGUGAAAUGUCUGACCCAAGAGAUGUGAUAUAUCAUUACAGUCUUUUACUGCAUAUAUACGAGGUCCAAUAACACAGUAUCUGCAAGGAAGAAGACCUUCAUUGUCACUGAUUUGAUUGAAGGCAAAAAGAAGAGCUCAAGGGAGCAUGAAGAUGAAAAUGUCAACAAGUGCAACUCCAAGAGGUGCCAUUUUAGCCAUUCCUUUUCAAGCGCCAUGAAGAACACCACCAUCUCAGACGACAAGAGACUCGUCCCUACUGGUUCAAAUCCAUUACACAACAGGUAGAAUAAUAGACAAAGACCCAUCUUCCUUGUCGCGUAAUGACUAGGAUCCUUUUUUAGUGCUCUAAAGAUUAUGUGUGUCCAGUAUCAGUUGACUUCUUUAGAGAUUUUUUGCUUGACUUCAUUACUCAUGCUUCAAACAUGAAAAAUAUUUUAUCGUCAUUUAAGAUUGCAUGAUAUAAUUUAUGUUCAGGGUGACAGAAUUAGAACAAACUGGUGCAAAAAAUCUACAAAGAAGUCAAUUGGUUCUGAGUCAUAUUCACUAUAUAUUCAAAGACCAAAAGGGAAUUUUAGUCGACCACAGUGGACAGUACAGUAUGAUCUUCAUCUUUGUUUCAGGAAGUUGUAUUACUUUGCUGUUAAAUAUCAAUGUAAAUUUUGGAAGAAACUAGCGUAUAUUACAUUCUUCUUCUAGAGUUGAAUAUUUUUUCCUCCA
Long non-coding RNA from Prosopis cineraria, 1315 nucleotides. RefSeq lists it as uncharacterized. Lineage: Eukaryota; Viridiplantae; Streptophyta; Magnoliopsida; Fabales; Fabaceae. The transcript has 2 exons. The record is from RefSeq and is a predicted model, not a curated record.